Molecule: long non-coding RNA, 815 nt
Filed under: Mytilus galloprovincialis (Mediterranean mussel)
Lineage: Eukaryota; Metazoa; Mollusca; Bivalvia; Mytilida; Mytilidae
Source: RNAcentral
AGGUCAUUCCUGCACAGUAAAAAACUCAACCAUGAUGGGAGUAAUGCGCUAGAGUGUUACUGCAAUUUUUGGCAGAUUUUCAAAGAAUUUUUUGUAAAAACAUCAGAAGACAUCAAAAAUGAUUAAAAAAAAAUGAAAAGCUGCAGGAAAUUGACAAUAGAAGAAGGCUGCAGAGAUUAGGUAUACUAAUUGACAAUAUAAUUCUUAAAUCUAAAAAAUAUUGGGUUGUUACUUUUUAACUAACAACUUUGAAGGUUGGUGACUAUACAUGUAGAUAAAAUUUAUUUUAUAUUUAUGAAAAAAACUUUAAUUUAUAAUAUUUGUAAAUUAAUCCAAUACAAAAACAAGUUUUUCAUGUACAUCGUAUUUGACAAUUAAAAAAAAAUAACAGGUCAACGAAAUGAUUAUUUUUGUUGAUUUUAGUGCCAAAUCAUAAAGUAACAUCUAAUAGUGAAAUAGAUAAAUUUGUAAAGAAAAAAAUGUUGAAAUUUUUAUUGAAAUUUUUGUACCCUCAAGCCUAGAUUUUUUUGGUUCAAUAGAUCAAUUAAAACGUUUGUGAUGUCAUAAUAAAGUUGUAUACAGAAAUUGCAUCAACUGCAUACAAAGCAACGACUAAUACAUUUUAAAUUUACCAUAUAUAUUUUUAAAUAUCUUAACAUUUCUUUUUUUAGAUUUGAUCACGGUAUUAAAUUUUUAUUCUAUAUUUACAAGUGCAGAAAUAUAUCAUUAUCUAAUGUUGUUGUUUUUGUAUUCACUUGCAGGAACUGAGAAGUAAAGAAAAAAAGGAAGAAAGAAAGGAAGAAUUUAUUUUAAUU